UGUGUCGCGUCUGGAAAGAUUUAUCGGUGAAGGAUGGGCUCGCGGCCUAUCAGCUUGUUGGUGGGGUAGUGGCCCACCAAGGCGACGACGGGUAGCCGGCCUGAGAGGGCGACCGGCCACACUGGGACUGAGACACGGCCCAGACUCCCGGAGGCAGCAGUGGGGAAUAUUGCACAAUGGGCGCAAGCCUGAUGCAGCGACGCCGCGUGAGGGAUGACGGCCUUCGGGUUGUAAACCUCUUUCAGCAGGGAAGAAGCGAAAGUGACGGUACCUGCAGAAGAAGCGCCGGCUAACUACGUGCCAGCAGCCGCGGUAAUACGUAGGGCGCAAGCGUUGUCCGGAAUUAUUGGGCGUAAAGAGCUCGUAGGCGGUUUGUCGCGUCUGCUGUGAAAACCUAAGGCUCAACCUUGGGCUUGCAGUGGGUACGGGCAGACUAGAGUGCGGUAGGGGUGACUGGAAUUCCUGGUGUAGCGGUGGAAUGCGCAGAUAUCAGGAGGAACACCGAUGGCGAAGGCAGGUCACUGGGCCGCAACUGACGCUGAGGAGCGAAAGCAUGGGGAGCGAACAGGAUUAGAUACCCUGGUAGUCCAUGCCGUAAACGUUGGGCACUAGGUGUGGGGCUCAUUCCACGAGUUCCGUGCCGCAGCAAACGCAUUAAGUGCCCCGCCUGGGGAGUACGGCCGCAAGGCUAAAACUCAAAGAAAUUGACGGGGGCCCGCACAAGCGGCGGAGCAUGCGGAUUAAUUCGAUGCAACGCGAAGAACCUUACCAAGGCUUGACAUACACCGGAAAAGUGCAGAGAUGUGCUCCCCGCAAGGUCGGUGUACAGGUGGUGCAUGGUUGUCGUCAGCUCGUGUCGUGAGAUGUUGGGUUAAGUCCCGCAACGAGCGCAACCCUCGUCCCAUGUUGCCAGCGGGUUAUGCCGGGGACUCAUGGGAGACUGCCGGGGUCAACUCGGAGGAAGGUGGGGAUGACGUCAAAUCAUCAUGCCCCUUAUGUCUUGGGCUUCACGCAUGCUACAAUGGCCGGUACAAAGGGCUGCGAUACCGCGAGGUGGAGCGAAUCCCAAAAAGCCGGUCUCGGUUCGGAUUGGGGUCUGCAACUCGACCCCAUGAAGUCGGAGUCGCUAGUAAUCGCAGAUCAGCAACGCUGCGGUGAAUACGUUCCCGGGCCUUGUACACACCGCCCGUAAAGUCACGAAAGUCGGUAACACCCGAAGCCAGUGGCCCAACUCGUAAGAGAGGGAGCUGUCGAAGGUGGGACUGGCGAUUGGGACUAAGUCGUAACAAGGUAGCCGUACCGGAAGGUGCGGCUG
RNAcentral lists this ribosomal RNA (1315 nucleotides) under metagenome. RNAcentral's name for it is "bacterial SSU rRNA". It matches the Rfam family "Bacterial small subunit ribosomal RNA", at positions 189 to 1520 of the family's 1533-position model. The record is from RNAcentral.